This is a long non-coding RNA of Helianthus annuus (common sunflower), 966 nucleotides long. RefSeq lists it as uncharacterized. The transcript is spliced from 2 exons. Lineage: Eukaryota; Viridiplantae; Streptophyta; Magnoliopsida; Asterales; Asteraceae. The record is from RefSeq and is a predicted model, not a curated record.
UGAAACUCUUCCACAUUUGUAAAUAUCUGUCACUUUCAAGGACAGAAAUGGAAAUUGGCACCACUAUAUACACUCAGUACAGAAUACCAGUAAAUAAAAAAUGGGGAUCUGAAGAAGAAGAAGAUGCUCGGAUAAACGAGGCUCCGGCAAGAGAGACGAGGUGUUUUUAAAGGGUAGUUGCCCCUCUCUUGCCCCCAUCAACUUCGGAUCGGAUCUGAUCUGAUCUGAUGUUGAGCCCAUGAUUCAAUCAAUCCCCAAUUUUCCCUGAAAAUCAGCAACCCUUUAAAGCAAGAAUGCCAAUAAGCAGAAUCAUCUAUCAUUUGAGAGCUACCAAAUCAGGAUCCAAACCAUAAAGGUGAAAGAUGAAAAUGAGAAGGCGAUGAUGAUAAUGAUUUCUGUAUAUCCGAGCAUCGUACUCAGUCAUGGGGUUAACUUCGACCCGUAUCUUGGCGGGGCAACCCGGAUGGCAUGUGAGAGCAACAACAAGGGCUUUUUUAUUGCUCUUACGGUGCAACCGGUGUUGCAGCCAUGGCGAUGAUCGUCCCUCUUGUCUGAUCUUUAUGUUACAGAUCUGAGCCACUUUCUCUUUGCUUAAUCAUCGAAAUAUUUUUUAUUUUUAGUCAAACAUGUGAUAAGUUAAAACAGUUGGUAAAAUAAGUUGAACAACAGGUUAAAACCAAAUCAAGAUAAUUUUACUAGACCAAAAUAUGCCUUUUGUUAUUCAAUUGGUUUCCUUAAUCACUUUGUAAAAAUUCAUGAGCCGGCAAACAUCUUAUGAAACAGUUCGUAAAUUCGAGUUUUUUCCCAAACUAGUGAUGGUGGAAAAACUAUUUACCAAAAUAGUGUUCCUUCAAAACUAUUUACCAAAAUGGUGUUUCUCAUUUAUUUUGUAUAUUUUCCUUUUAUUUUAAACCCAAUGUAUUAGCCGUAUUUUUUAUUUUUCCUAUUCAGUUAACUUGUUUUCUA